UACGUAGGUGGCAAGCGUUAUCCGGAAUUAUUGGGCGUAAAGGGUGCGUAGGCGGCCAUUUAAGUCUAAGGUGAAAGUUCGAGGCUCAACUUCGGAUUGCCUUAGAAACUGGAUAGCUUGAGUACGGGAGAGGGUAGUGGAAUUUCGAGUGUAGGGGUGAAAUCCGUAGAUAUUCGAAGGAACACCAGUGGCGAAGGCGGCUUUCUGGACUGUAACUGACGCUGAGGUGCGAAAGCCAGGGGAGCAAACG
This 250-nucleotide ribosomal RNA is filed under the name uncultured bacterium. RNAcentral's name for it is "partial 16S ribosomal RNA". It matches the Rfam family "Bacterial small subunit ribosomal RNA", at positions 524 to 774 of the family's 1533-position model. The record is from RNAcentral.